This is a long non-coding RNA of Oreochromis aureus, 1660 nucleotides long. RefSeq lists it as uncharacterized. The record is from RefSeq and is a predicted model, not a curated record. The transcript has 4 exons. NCBI's taxonomy places the organism in Eukaryota, Metazoa, Chordata, Actinopteri, Cichliformes, Cichlidae.
ACACCGGCCCUCAAGGCCUAGGAUGUGGGGUUUAAACGAUGCUCAGUUGAUACUGAGGGACCUAAAAUGUGUCACGAAAAUAUGUCCCACACAUUACAACCACCAGUACUCUGAGCCAUUGAUAAAAGACAGUAUGGAUCCUUGUUUUUGUGUUUUUUAUGCCCAAUUCUGACCCUACCAUCUGGAUGUCACCGCAGAAAUCAAGACUCAUCACACCAGGCAACCUUCUUCAAUUUUGCCAACAGAAACACGUCUUGACUCCAGAAUACCCAAGUUAAACCUUAACCCAGAGUGCCCUGCACUCAGGAAACAGGAAAUAAGAAAGACGUUUCAUGGCUCCACACUUGACUGAAUUCCAAUGAUGUUACUCCACAUCCAGCAACACAUGGUUCUCCAUCAGGUCUUUUAACUAACCCAGGCACAAGCAGCUGUGCAGCUGACCUGUUCCAUCAACCUGCCUGAGUCUUGGACUGACCCCUCCCCGAGAGCCCGGACUUUAAACAUUAUUAAAUCAGUGUGGGAUCAUCUUGACAGAUAUGGAACAAAAGACAGCCAACAUCCAAAGAAGAGCUUCGAAUGUCCUUCAGAAGCCCGGAGACUACUUUAAAAAAUUACAAGGUGAACGUUAAGAGACGGCGAAGGUACUUUCUUGUUGCUGCCGUUAUCGCUGUGGGCCACACGGGCAGCCAGCAGGGUUAAUACGGCUUAAAGGGCAUUUGCCACCAGCAGCCUCUUACCUGGUCUCCUGGGAUUCAGGGCCACUUGGGAGGGGGAGGGGGAACUACUUGACUGCAUCAGAGAUUAUUUCAAGGAGACAGAAAAUGUAGAAGUGGCUCUCUCUGUGGAAUUUUUUUUUUUUUCUAAGCAAAAGGGAACCCGUGUCAGCCAAUUUGCUUUUAUACCCCAGUAAUCCUGUCUUGCUGAGAAGUGUACUUAUUCAACUACAUAAAGAACUGUGCUGUGUUUUGACUUUGUCAGUCAUGUUACUUUAUGUAAUAAAGCUAUCAUAAAGCAUGUGCACUUCAAACUCAAUACAAGGACUGGUCUUGAUUAGAUGCAAGAAUGUGAAAACUUUCAUACCGAACUACCUACACCGAGUGUGCACAGCCUUGACAGUGUUGGAGUGUAUACAUGGAAUAUGCUCCAACUUCAUAAGAUCUUUCAUGAUCAUAUAGCCUUCACUCUGUGUCUAUUUUUAGUGGUGUUUCCGAGUUGGACUAGAAAUAUCUUAGGGAUGUAAAUCUGAGUCCAAAACCACAUUACACAGUGUCUACACUGUGUAAACAGUGUGUAACUAUAGACAGAGAAGUUGAUGUUAAUGCAAAUAGUGUGAUCAGCUGUUGUUUUUGGUUAGAAGCCACAUGGAGAUGUUAGUGGUUAACGCUUGGUUAAAGUAUGCUGCUCUGGAAAAAAGCUGCAAUGUUUAAAGAGUAUUCAGGAAAAAUGUUAAGUGGAAUUAUAAUAACAGAGCUAUAUUAUUUUAAUCAACUAUUAAUAACUGAGUGAUUAUGCCUUGGGUAGAAAUAAUCCCUCCCAUCCCCAUUUAAAAAAAAAAAAAAAAAAAAAAUUUUAUACACAUAUAUAUAUGUAGAAUUGUUAAAUAAAUAACUGUUUUAAAUUUGAUAGCACAGUAUUAGGCUACGUUCACACUGCAGGUCUU